UUUGUAGCUCAGCUGGAUAGAGCAAUGCCCUUCUAAGGCAGAGGUCGCAGGUUCGAAUCCUGCCAGAC
Molecule: transfer RNA, 68 nt
Filed under: Candidatus Caccopulliclostridium gallistercoris
Lineage: Bacteria; Bacillati; Bacillota; Clostridia
Also listed under: 1 other name
Rfam family: tRNA
About the family: Transfer RNA (tRNA) molecules are approximately 80 nucleotides in length.
Source: RNAcentral